UACGUAGGGUGCGAGCGUUAAUCGGAAUUACUGGGCGUAAAGCGUGCGCAGGUGGCUGCGCAAGUCGAGUGUGAAAUCCCCGAGCUUAACUUGGGAAUUGCGCUCGAAACUACGUGGCUCGAGUGUGGCAGAGGAAGGUGGAAUUCCACGUGUAGCGGUGAAAUGCGUAGAGAUGUGGAGGAACACCGAUGGCGAAGGCAGCCUUCUGGGCCAACACUGACGCUCAUGCACGAAAGCGUGGGGAGCAAACAGG
This 253-nucleotide ribosomal RNA is filed under the name uncultured bacterium. RNAcentral describes it as "partial 16S ribosomal RNA". It matches the Rfam family "Bacterial small subunit ribosomal RNA", at positions 524 to 776 of the family's 1533-position model. The record is from RNAcentral.